This 164-nucleotide ribosomal RNA is filed under the name Marsdenia calcicola. RNAcentral's name for it is "5.8S ribosomal RNA". Lineage: Eukaryota; Viridiplantae; Streptophyta; Magnoliopsida; Gentianales; Apocynaceae. The record is from RNAcentral.
CACACGACUCUCGGCAACGGAUAUCUAGGCUCUUGCAUCGAUGAAGAACGUAGCAAAUUGCGAUACUUGGUGUGAAUUGCAGAAUCCCGUGAACCAUCGAGUCUUUGAACGCAGGUUGCGCCCGAAGCCAUUAGGCCGAGGGCACGUCUGCCUGGGSGUCAYGC